CCCUUAGAUGUUCUGGGCUGCACGCGUGCUACACUGAUAUUGCCAAUAUGUCAUUCUUAUCCGAAAUGGAUUGGGUAAUCAAGUAAUGAAAUUUCAUGCUUGGAAUCGGUAAUUGCAAUUUUAUCGUGAACGAGGAAUUCCUAGUAAGCACUGGUCAUCAGCUAAUGUUGAUUAUGUCCCUGCCCUUUGUACACACCGCCCGUCGCUACUACUGAUUGGGUGUUCAAGUGAGAUGCUUAGACCCUUGUUGCAUGGUUCAUUAUUGUGCUCCGAAAGGAAAAAGUUUCAAGCUUGAGUGUCUAGAGGAAGUAAAAGUCGUAACA
Molecule: ribosomal RNA, 323 nt
Filed under: uncultured eukaryote
Lineage: Eukaryota
Description: partial 18S ribosomal RNA
Rfam family: Eukaryotic small subunit ribosomal RNA
Source: RNAcentral